UACAGAGACUGCAAGCGUUAUUCGGAUUCACUGGGCGUAAAGGGUGCGUAGGUGGCGCGGUAAGUCGGGUGUGAAAUCUCGGGGCUCAACCCCGAAACUGCACUUGAUACUGCCUUGCUCGAGUACUGGAGAGGAGAUUGGAAUUUACGGUGUAGCAGUGAAAUGCGUAGAUAUCGUAAGGAAGACCAGUGGCGAAGGCGAAUCUCUGGACAGUUACUGACACUGAGGCACGAAGGCCAGGGGAGCAAACGGG
This 253-nucleotide ribosomal RNA is filed under the name uncultured bacterium. RNAcentral describes it as "partial 16S ribosomal RNA". It matches the Rfam family "Bacterial small subunit ribosomal RNA", at positions 524 to 776 of the family's 1533-position model. The record is from RNAcentral.